GAUGAACGCUGGCGGCGUGCCUAAUACAUGCAAGUCGAGCGAACGGACGAGAAGCUUGCUUCUCUGAUGUUAGCGGCGGACGGGUGAGUAACACGUGGAUAACCUACCUAUAAGACUGGGAUAACUUCGGGAAACCGGAGCUAAUACCGGAUAAUAUUUUGAACCGCAUGGUUCAAAAGUGAAAGACGGUCUUGCUGUCACUUAUAGAUGGAUCCGCGCUGCAUUAGCUAGUUGGUAAGGUAACGGCUUACCAAGGCAACGAUGCAUAGCCGACCUGAGAGGGUGAUCGGCCACACUGGAACUGAGACACGUUCCAGACUCCUACGGGAGGCAGCAGUAGGGAAUCUUCCGCAAUGGGCGGAAGCCUGACGGAGCAACGCCGCGUGAGUGAUGAAGGUCUUCGGAUCGGAAAACUCUGUUAUUAGGGAAGAACAUAUGUGUAAGUAACUGUGCACAUCUUGACGGUACCUAAUCAGAAAGCCACGGCUAACUACGUG
Molecule: ribosomal RNA, 497 nt
Filed under: uncultured bacterium
Lineage: Bacteria
Description: partial 16S ribosomal RNA
Rfam family: Bacterial small subunit ribosomal RNA
Source: RNAcentral